This 479-nucleotide ribosomal RNA is filed under the name uncultured bacterium. RNAcentral describes it as "bacterial SSU rRNA". It matches the Rfam family "Bacterial small subunit ribosomal RNA", at positions 29 to 510 of the family's 1533-position model. The record is from RNAcentral.
AGCGAACGUUUGCGGCGGGCCUAACACAUGCAAGUCGAACGCACUAGCAAUAGUGAGUGGCGCACGGGUGCGUAACACGUGGGUAAUCAACCCUUCAGCCUGGGAUAACGACUCGAAAGGGUCGCUAAUACCGGAUACGGCGCGAGAGGCUUCGGCUUCUCACGAGAAAGCCACGCAAGGGGCACUGAAGGACGAGCCUGCGGCCCAUCAGCUAGUUGGUGAGGUAAGAGCUCACCAAGGCUAAGACGGGUAGCUGGUCUGAGAGGAUGAUCAGCCACACUGGAACUGAGACACGGUCCAGACUCCUACGGGAGGCAGCAGUGGGGAAUAUUGCGCAAUGGGCGAAAGCCUGACGCAGCCACGCCGCGUGAGCGAUGAAGGCCUGGUCGUAAAGACUCUGUGGGAGAGACGAAGAAAGACCUGUGAAGAGCAGGCCUUGACGGUAGUCUCCUUAGCAAGCACCGGCUAACUCCGUGCCA